Molecule: non-coding RNA, 93 nt
Filed under: Micrococcales bacterium
Lineage: Bacteria; Bacillati; Actinomycetota; Actinomycetes; Micrococcales
Description: Glycine sequence
Rfam family: Glycine riboswitch aptamer
About the family: This family represents the bacterial glycine riboswitch.
Source: RNAcentral
CCGCUCUGGAAAGAAGUUCCGUUCCGCGGAACUCGCCCACGGUGAAAGCGACCAUGAGUCGCGAAUCUCUCAGGCGCCGAUGACAGAGGGGGA